GGGCCUAUAGCUCAGUGGUAGAGCAUACGAUUGCAGAUCGUGCGGUCCCGUGUUCGAACCACGGUGGGCCCU
RNAcentral lists this transfer RNA (72 nucleotides) under Dichomitus squalens. RNAcentral describes it as "tRNA-Cys". It matches the Rfam family "tRNA". Rfam says of the family: Transfer RNA (tRNA) molecules are approximately 80 nucleotides in length. Their secondary structure includes four short double-helical elements and three loops (D, anti-codon, and T loops). The record is from RNAcentral. Lineage: Eukaryota; Fungi; Basidiomycota; Agaricomycetes; Polyporales; Polyporaceae.